AUUGAACGCUGGCGGCAGGCCUAACACAUGCAAGUCGAACGCGUGGCGGACGGGUGUGUCAUGUCUGGGACCCUGCCUGAUGGCGGGGGAUAAUUACGGGAACCGGUAGCUAAUACCGCAUACCAUUCGAUGUGACAAGAUGGGAUUAGCUUGUUGGUGGGGUAACGGCUCACCAAGGCGACGAUCCCCAGCUGGUCUGAGAGGAUGACCGGCCAAACUGGAACUGAGACACGGUCCAGACUCCUACGGGAGGCAGCAGUGGGGAAUAUUGCACAAUGGGCGAAAGCCUGAUGCAGCCAUGCCGCGUGUGUGAUGAAGGCCUUCGGGUUGUAAAGCACUUUCAGCGGGGAGGCGUUACCCGCAGAGGAAGCACCGGCUAACUCCGUGCCAGCAGCCGCGGUAAUAG
Molecule: ribosomal RNA, 406 nt
Filed under: uncultured bacterium
Lineage: Bacteria
Description: partial 16S ribosomal RNA
Rfam family: Bacterial small subunit ribosomal RNA
Source: RNAcentral